Molecule: ribosomal RNA, 412 nt
Filed under: uncultured bacterium
Lineage: Bacteria
Description: bacterial SSU rRNA
Rfam family: Bacterial small subunit ribosomal RNA
Source: RNAcentral
UCUUCAGCAAUGAGGAGGACAGCGGCGAAGGGAGAGUAAUAGGUAGAUACGUGCCCAAGGGUUCGGGAUAGCCACGCGAAAGUGUGAGUAAUACCGAAUAAUGUCCCCGGACCAAAGAUUUAUUGCCUUUGGAGCGGUCUACUUCCUAUUAGGUUGUUGGUGUGGUAAUGGCGCACCAAGCCGAAGAUGGGUAGCGGGUGUGAGAGCACGACCCGCCUCACUGGGACUGAGAUACUGCCCAGACACCUACGGGUGGCUGCAGUCGAGAAUCUUCCGCAAUGGACGAAAGUCUGACGGAGCGACGCCGCGUGAUGGACGAAGGCCCUCGGGUUGUAAACAUCUGUCGUAGGGGAGGAAAUUUUGACCGAUCCUAGGAGGAAGCACAGGCUAAACUCGUGCCAGCAGCCGCGGU